GAGCGAGAGAGAGUUACUUUUUCGAGCGAGUGGCGAACGGGUGAGUAACGCGUGAGGAACCUGCCUCAAAGAGGGGGACAACAGUUGGAAACGACUGCUAAUACCGCAUAAGCCCACGACCCGGCAUCGGGUAGAGGGAAAAGGAGCAAUCCGCUUUGAGAUGGCCUCGCGUCCGAUUAGCUAGUUGGUGAGGUAAUGGCCCACCAAGGCGACGAUCGGUAGCCGGACUGAGAGGUUGAACGGCCACAUUGGGACUGAGACACGGCCCAGACUCCUACGGGAGGCAGCAGUGGGGAAUAUUGCACAAUGGGGGAAACCCUGAUGCAGCGACGCCGCGUGGAGGAAGAAGGUCUUCGGAUUGUAAACUCCUGUUGUUGAGGAAGAUAAUGACGGUACUCAACAAGGAAGUGACGGCUAACUACGUGCCAGCAGCCGCGGUAAAACGUAGGUCACAAGCGUUGUCCGGAAUUACUGGGUGUAAAGGGAGCGCAGGCGGGAAGACAAGUUGGAAGUGAAAUNCCAUGGGCUCAACCCAUGAACUGCUUUCAAAACUGUUUUUCUUGAGUAGUGCAGAGGUAGGCGGAAUUCCCGGUGUAGCGGUGGAAGGUAGAUAUCGGGAGGAACACCAGUGGCGAAG
This 637-nucleotide ribosomal RNA is filed under the name uncultured Lachnospiraceae bacterium. RNAcentral describes it as "bacterial SSU rRNA". It matches the Rfam family "Bacterial small subunit ribosomal RNA", at positions 64 to 720 of the family's 1533-position model. The record is from RNAcentral. Lineage: Bacteria; Bacillati; Bacillota; Clostridia; Lachnospirales; Lachnospiraceae.